CAUCAUCAUCACUGUUGGACCGCUGGAGAGCAGACGCUGUCGCAGCUGGCCUGGGCUUACAGGACUGAACACCACCCUGCGCCAGAACCUAGUAAGAUCAGACCAUCUCCCACCCUCCAUUGAGACGGAUUCCUCAGUCGACUUCGCCCAGGCUAGGCUGUCGAACCAAUGACAUAGAACCAAGAUGUUGUACUAACCAUCUUCAGGACCCUCUGCAUGGCCUCCUCUUCCGUCUCCUCAUCACUGUCCGCUCCAUCAUGGCCUCCUGUAGCACGCGUCUCCUCUCCUCCUCCAGCUGCUGGGCGGCCUGCUGUACAUCGUCCACAUCACUCUUGUCUAACUGCUCAUC
This is a long non-coding RNA of Engraulis encrasicolus (European anchovy), 349 nucleotides long. RefSeq lists it as uncharacterized. The transcript has 3 exons. The record is from RefSeq and is a predicted model, not a curated record. NCBI's taxonomy places the organism in Eukaryota, Metazoa, Chordata, Actinopteri, Clupeiformes, Engraulidae.